This 274-nucleotide ribosomal RNA is filed under the name Heterosigma akashiwo. RNAcentral describes it as "partial Bacterial large subunit ribosomal RNA". It matches the Rfam family "Bacterial large subunit ribosomal RNA", at positions 12 to 277 of the family's 2925-position model. Lineage: Eukaryota; Raphidophyceae; Chattonellales; Chattonellaceae. The record is from RNAcentral.
UAAGAGCAAACGGUGGAUGCCUUGGCAUCUGGAGCCGAUGAAGGACGUAGAAAUCUGCGAUAAGCCUCGGGGAGCUGAUAAUCGAGCCUCGAUCCGAGGAUUUCCGAAUGGGGAAACCCCGCCAGGCGUUUUGCGACCUGGUGACUCCCGCCUGAAUAUAUAGGGCGGGUAGAGGGAACGUGGGGAAGUGAAACAUCUCAGUACCCGCAGGAAGAGAAAAUAAAGUAAUGAUUCUGUGAGUAGUGGCGAGCGAAAGCGGAAGAGACUAAACCUG